UCCAUAAAAAAGAAAAAAAGGAUCGUAGAGACCAUUUUGAGCUGGUGUAACACACUCUUCAAGUUCUUCAACAAGGAAGGAGAGCUGAUGGAAAAAUUGCUCAAGUCUUUCUCUGCACUCAGGAUCUUGCUUCAACAAACAAGGAAAGUACUUUCUAUUUCUUUUUUUUUACAUACUUUUUAGUUAAUUUCUUAGUUUGUUUCUCAUUGCAUGUUCAUUUCCCUUUUAUUCUGAUUUUGAGUUUUUUUAUUUUUUUGGGUCUUUGUCAUUUCCUUUCUCAUUUUGCUCCUUUUCUCUUCAUUCCUCACCUCAUUCACAACCAUCUUUCACCCAUAAAAAAUUCAACAACCAUGAUUGUUUGUUCUUCUUUAAUCAAUGUCUAUGGUGUGGGAUUUACCGACGUUCCAACCAAUGAGAAGCACACAAGUUUCUCUCUCUUUCCAUUGAAUGUUUAACUUCAGCUUGUGUCAGAAACAAGUUGAAAUUCUUAUUUUUUUUCAAAUUCUUAUAUAUUUAUUAAAUAAUUAGUAAAAUUGAAUUUUAAUAAAUUAAAAAUAAUUAUAUAAUAGAUUAAAAAAACUACAAUAAAAUCUACAAUUGUUAUAAAUAAUGUCAUGUUCCACACCAUCGCCCUGGGAUACUUUUUGGUUUAUUUCGAUGCAACUGAGAAUUUAUUUGACGAUGAUUUCUUUCACGAUGAAUUACUUGAGGCUCAGUUUGGUCUCCAUCAUCGUUAUUUGUAGUUGAUUACAUUUGACAUUUAUGAGCCAACGUCAAUGACACAUCGUGUUCCCUUGUAGACCAUCCCACAUCUAGAAAU
RNAcentral lists this long non-coding RNA (820 nucleotides) under Medicago truncatula (barrel medic). RNAcentral's name for it is "long non-coding RNA (MTRU_LNC008084)". Lineage: Eukaryota; Viridiplantae; Streptophyta; Magnoliopsida; Fabales; Fabaceae. The record is from RNAcentral.